RNAcentral lists this long non-coding RNA (1860 nucleotides) under Glycine max (soybean). RNAcentral describes it as "long non-coding RNA (GMAX_LNC000366)". The record is from RNAcentral. Lineage: Eukaryota; Viridiplantae; Streptophyta; Magnoliopsida; Fabales; Fabaceae.
GAGGGCACUGAUUCAGCUGGGUUGCCGCCCAACUGUACCAGUAGUGUUCAUUGGACAACAACAUAGGUGGUGCUGAUGAAGUCAUAAGCCUCAACGUCCAAAACAAGCUUGCCCAGUUGCUUUUGAGGGCUAGAGCAAUAUUUAUCCGGAGUUCAUAGCCAUGCAAUGCAAAAUCACCCUAGAGAAUCAAACAAGAGGCUCUAAUCUUCUUAAAGCUAAUAAUAUUACUACAUAGUUCCUAGCUAUGACUACUAUAUAUCAGAAGGUUUAGUAACAGAGCUUCUUCUAGUCUGUUUGUACUCUUAAUUCUUCAUUUCUUGUUCUGGUGCACAAUGUCAUUCUCAUUUCUUGAAUAAUGUAAGUCAAGCCUAUGCUAGACAUGACCAUCGGCCAUGGCAUGCACGUGUUAUCAAAUGCAACUAUGCAAGGCUCAGUUAUAAUAGGAAAUAUAUUCUAAUUUUCAUAAAAACUUGCAUUUGGAAUUUGGAUGAAAAUUUUAACUUGAAAUGAGAGAAUUAACAAAUACCCACCCUGCAUAGAAGGAAAAAUAAUAAUAAAAAUGAUAGUGUAAUUUUUUAAAUAACAAAAGAUUGAAUAUAAUUCAGACAAAUCUAAAGUGAUGUAUAAUAAAAUUGUUUGUAUUGACUUGCACUCGAUUAAUAAAUAAAUUAAAUAUAGGUAUCUCAAUUCAAGUCCAAGAUUAAUGAUGAUGUAUUCUUGUUUAUUAAACCAAACCUAUAAAGCCAACUCAGGUUGCUACAAUUUCGUUAGGAAUCUCCAAAAUAUGAAAAGAGCAAAAGUUAUGACAAACAAGCUUUUGUUCAAAUAAUAAAUUAAGACUUUUAAAAUGAGAAACAAAAAACAUGCACUUCACCACUGAAGGCUCCUUAUUAACGGAAAGAAAAAGAAAAUCAAGAUAACAAAAUCCAUGCAAAGAGUGUUUCGAUAUAAAUAAAAAGUAGUUGAUCAAGUAAAUAUGCAGUGUUAAUCAUUUGUGUAGGUUACGUUUUACUCAAGAUUUCUUAGAUUGUAAUCUUCAAAUAAAUAAACAAACAAACAAACAAAAGUCACUAUCAACCCAUUCAAUUUAGUAAGACUGUUAUAUAUGAUCAUAUGCACAAUGCAUGAAAUAAUUUUCAUACCCAACUGUUCCAGUUACGAAGUUAAUCAUCAUUUUCUAUACAAAAAUGUUGUCAUGUAAAUGAAAUUUCUUCUUAAUAAGGUGGUUGCAGGACACCAAAACACUAAUUUAUCUGUCAUGGCAUAGCUUUCUCAUACAUAUUCCUCGUUGUAUACGUGGGAGAUCCUAAUAGAAUAGAAGGAGCGUAGUUAAAGUAGAAAUGAAAAGAAAAAAAAAAUACACACAUCACGUUCACAAGCAGAACCUGAUGUCGAGGAAUCCGUAGUCCGCACUGUGAUGCCAAGAACUGAUCCCGCACCACCCACCAAUUACUUUGAUCUGCACUAAUUUCUCCAAACGCAUAUGUCACAGUACCUUUCGGACCAACAAUAAUUCAGCUUCAAAAUGUUGCCUUCAUAAUAUACAAAUUUUACUCCAUAGGAUAUAUAUGCAGAACAGUGUUGAAUAUCAACAAUUCGUGUCACGGUGACAUAAAUUUUUGACUGUGUGACAUCAGAAUCGGACAUACCCAAGUGCUAAGAACGAAUCUUUAUUAGGUCUUAGAUUUAGGAGAGAAGAGACGAAGUUGGAAUUUCUACCAAUUACGCUGAAAAAUGGCGCCGUUAUCUCUACGCUACGCUCCUAGCCCUGGAUCUGAUCAGUCCAACAAAACGCACCGUUUUCUGGCCUGAAGCAACAACAGCAAGCACUGAACUGAUACGACGUCGUGCCUUUCAAUU